RNAcentral lists this ribosomal RNA (846 nucleotides) under uncultured haloarchaeon. RNAcentral describes it as "bacterial SSU rRNA". It matches the Rfam family "Archaeal small subunit ribosomal RNA", at positions 1 to 846 of the family's 1478-position model. The record is from RNAcentral. Lineage: Archaea; Methanobacteriati; Methanobacteriota; Halobacteria; Halobacteriales; Halobacteriaceae.
UUUUCCGGUUGAUCCUGCCGGAGGACAUUGCUAUUGGGAUUCGAUUUAGCCAUGCUAGUCGUACGAGUUUAGACUCGUGGCGAAUAGCUCAGUAACACGUGGCCAAGCUACCCUUCAGUCCAUACUACCCUCGGGAAACUGAGGCUAAUGAUGGAUACGGUAUGCCAGUUGGAAUACGGCAUACUCCAAACGCUCCGGCGCUGAAGGAUGCGGCUGCGGCCGAUUAGGUAGACGGUGGGGUAACGGCCCACCGUGCCAAUAAUCGGUACGGGUCAUGAGAGUGAGAGCCCGGAGACGGAAUCUGAGACAAGAUUCCGGGCCCUACGGGGCGCAGCAGGCGCGAAACCUUUACACUGCACGCAAGUGCGAUAGGGGAAUCCCGAGUGCGAGGGCAUACUAGCCCUCGCUUUUGUGUACCCUAAGGCGGUACACGAAUAAGAGCUGGGCAAGACCGGUGCCAGCCGCCGCGGUAAUACCGGCAGCUCGAGUGAUGUCCAAUUUUAUUGGGCCUAAAGCGUCCGUAGCUGGCCAGCCAAGUUCGUCGGGAAAUCCACCUGCCCAACAGGUGGGCGUCCGGCGAAAACUGUCUGGCUUGGAACCGGAAGGCUCAGAGGGUACGUCCGGGGUAGGAGUGAAAUCCUGUAAUCCCGGACGGACCACCGAUGGCGAAAGCACUCUGAGAGGACGGAUUCGACAGUGAGGGACGAAAGCUAGGGUCUCGAACCGGAUUAGAUACCCGGGUAGUCCUAGCUGUAAACGAUGCUCGUUAGAUGUGGCACCCACUACGAGUGGGUGCUGUGUCGUANGGAAGCCGCUAAACGAGCCGCCUGGGAAGUACGUCCGCAA